UAGUCCAUUCCGAAGUUGUAGUUUGUUUUGACAUUUCCGUUUUAUUUAACCUAACCUAUGUUUUGUGUUUUAUUGUGUUGUAUACAAGGAGUUGUAUAUUGAAAUUGAAUUGAUUCUUGUUUCAUUGAAUAUAGAGGAGUUGUUCUGUUGCAAGUUGUUCUAGUUUUGUUGUUUUAAAAUCUGCGAAAAACUAUUUAUAGAUAAUGGUGAACUUAAACAAGAAAUGGACAUGCAGUUUGCUGAUUACUUAAUUGUGUACUCACAACACAUAGGAUUUCUCUGACACAGUUUCCAGUACAGAACUGCCACAGGAAUCUCCAGUGGAGUUGCAACCGCUCUCACGGACGUCCACAAAUCAAGUUACAAAACUGUUACAUGACUCUAUUGGAGUUGCAACCGCAAUUGGAUAAAAGUGAAAUUCGAAUAAUGCCAGAAAGACUAUAACUGUCCAAAGUGAUAGUGUGAAAUUAAAAUCAAAUGAUUACGUAUAAAUCAUAUUUAUAAUAAUUAUAAAUAGUAGCUGUAUUUUUUAAAUAAACAGAUUUGAUAAGUUA
RNAcentral lists this long non-coding RNA (554 nucleotides) under Diabrotica virgifera virgifera (western corn rootworm). RNAcentral's name for it is "uncharacterized LOC126889853". Lineage: Eukaryota; Metazoa; Arthropoda; Insecta; Coleoptera; Chrysomelidae. The record is from RNAcentral.